GUCAUCUACAGUUAAGAUAAGCUUUUAAGUUCUAGAAGUGAUGAACCAUGUGGUUUAGAAAAACAUGCUACAGAUAAAAUAAUCCCUUCUCCUGAUAAAUGAUUUUGUCAAGCAGAUUACAAGGUAUCUUUAAGGCUGGAGACAUUACUUCUAAAGCUAUCGAGGUCAUGAAAAAGCAAUGGUGUUCAUUUAAUCAACUGAAGAUAAAGCAUUAUGAGCUCCAAGGCUGUGGCCAUGCUGAGGCACUGCCAGUAUUCUUUAAAAAAUAGAAACAUGGAAAAAAAUAUAAAUAAUUCUUUCUAAUUUUGGUACAAGGCCAAAUAUGAAAGGGAGAAGGAAGUUGAUUACAUGGUACUUUCAUUCAUUGACCCUGAAAAAAUGAAUAUCAGAGUUAACCUCGGUGACAUUUGAACUCUGAGCAUAAUGGGUUGGAAGAAAUGCCACCAAACAUUUUGUCACACUAAUGGUUCUAUCAGUUCACCAUCUUUAAUAAUAAAUUUUUCAGAUUGGCAGAAAAAAAAAAAAAAAAACAAAGAAAAAAAUCAAUUUCUAGAGAACUAUAGAUGACUGAAUUAACCUCCAUGUACUUUUGGUUCUUCUGCAAACCCACGAGGGAUUCAAGGAAAUCGUGUUCAAGUUAUUUGUUGUGAAAGAUAAGAAAUUAUAAAGGCAAAAAAAGAGAAAGAUUUGUAGGGCAUUUAAUUUGAUAAGAAGUAAGCUUACCUGAUGUUCAGAAUUUAUAACUGUAACAUGCCGCAAGCCUAAUGCCCGAAACAGCCGGAAGAUUCGUGAGUAUGUUGCACGCUGGAAGUGAGGAAUGAAAUAAGAGACAUUUAGUAACAAAUUAAAACCAAAUUGGCUUUAGUAUCAAAAUUCGUAAUAUUAAUUAUGGGAGAAGAACUGCAUAAUAUGGUAAAGGAAAGGCGAGGAGAGAGAGAAAAGAAUGUUUAGCAGAAGGGAAUAUUGAAAUGGUGAGAGGUGGAAGAAGGUAAUGCUAUAAUGUUAUAUGGUCAGGUGGUUGGUUGAAGAGAGAGGAGGCAAAAAAGACAAAACCAGAAAAGUGUUUACUGGAGAGAAAAUGAGAACAGUGAGAGGAGAAAGGGAACGUUACAGACAUACAAGAACUGUAGUAGCCAUUAAAGUGGUGGUGGGGGGGUGUCAUCUGUAGGGAUAUUCCUUAAUGAAGUUGGAGACAGAAGAAUAUGGUUUUUUUUACUCAACUAUUUUUUUUACAAAAUAUUCAUGCACUUUAGAGUAAUUAAUUGUCGUCUGCUAAACGAACAUUUCAUAUUUGUUUACCUAUAGUACAGUGGUUCCCAACUCUUUUAUAUAAAUGAGUUUUCCCAUAGACCCCUUUUAAUAUGCUUAACCUUAUGUAUGUGUGUAUGUGUGUGGGACGUGCUGUCUGGGUAGGCAAGGUGGGCAGUGCCUACCCUGAAUAAAAUAGAUCAAUAGUAAUAUUUUCCUUUUAUGACAAAAUAUGCCCCUAAGUCAAUAAAAUUAUGAAGGUUACUCUGAUUACUAUGCAUAAAAUGCAAAAUGUUUUUUGUUUUUUUUUGUAGAUUAGGUAGGCAUAAUUCGCCCCUGGCCUUUCAAUCUCAGUAUUAAAGCUACACAGGGUAUUGCUGUAGUACACAUGCUGCGUACAUUCCUACAACAAUGUUUUUUUUAUGCGCUAAAAAGGCAGAAGUAAUUCUGCCUCCAACUCAGUCGUACGCCUUGUGUUCCAUCCCAUAAACGUCACCAGCUGAGUGAUUACCAACGGCACAUGCCUGAGAUAUAUUUAUAUAUAGGUUAUGAGAGGUAAUGGUGUCAAGAAGACCCAAAGGUGUCAGGUAAUGCCGAGUAAGUGCUAUGGACAGACUAUAGUUAAGCUCAAGGUUUAGCGAUUAUGUCAAUGAGGAGUCCAACAUGGGUCAUAUAUUAGCAUGUGUAUAUAUAAAAAAAUUUACAGAAUGAGAUAAAGAAUCCAAGGCUGUGAAAGAUAUCAGAGCAUUUAUAAAGAGAAGGUCUUACAGCUGUUUCCGAGAUAUUAUAUAUAUCCCUUCAUCAGAGACAGUGCGAGAAAAUGGUUACGCUAUAGUUAUUAUAAAGUAGAUAUGAAAUCUGUGUGUGUAUGUAUGUAUAUAUAUAUAUGAUGAUGAUGAUAUAUAUAUAUAUACACACACAUAAAAUUUUGAAUUUAGUUCAUGGAUCCCCAGUACUACCUUUGCAGACCCCAGGUUGGGAACCACUGAUCUACAACAUUACUGGCAGCUCUGUAUGUAACUCAGUAACUAUGAAAUAAAAGGGAAGACAUAAAAUUUAGAUUAUUUAUGAGACAAUUGACUGAUAAACUAUGGAAGGAAAUGAAAGACAUAAUCUAUUGAAGAACAACAAUUAUAUUAUUUGUGAGACAAAGAUUUGAUAAAUAUUCUAAAUUAAGUACAGAAAUAGGCACAGGCAUGGCUGUGUAGUAAGAAGUUUGCUUCUCAAUUACAUGGUUCUGGGUUCAGUCUCACUGCAUGGCACCUUUGGCAAGUAUCUUCUACACUAGCCAUGGGCCAACCUAAGCCUUGUGAGUCGAUUUGGUAGACGGAAAC
Octopus bimaculoides (California two-spot octopus) is the source of this 2582-nucleotide long non-coding RNA. RefSeq lists it as uncharacterized. Lineage: Eukaryota; Metazoa; Mollusca; Cephalopoda; Octopoda; Octopodidae. The record is from RefSeq and is a predicted model, not a curated record.